CAAAAAUGUCAAAAAAAAUGUGGAUAAUGGAAGGAAUUAUCUACAGAGAAAGAUAUGCCUACAGAGAAAGAAAACAAGAGCAGGCUUAAGUUCACCCUACUACUUUUGACUGUGGAAAACCUGGUUAGUGCCUAGAAGACGGAAUAAGAAAAAAUAAAAUUAUUCCUUGUUCAUUGUUAACAUGACUCCAUCACAAUAAGAAAAUGAGGAUCAAUCAUCACCUGGAGUAACUUGCCCCAAGUUCUCAGGACUAGUAAGUGGAGAAGCAGCUGAAAAAGGAUAUUACACCUUCACUUUCCUCAAGACUGCACAUAUCAAGACAAUGAACCUUCAAGUGCACAGACUAAAUAUGCCCAAGCAAGGGAAGAAAUCCAAUGGUCUAGAGCAGAAGGAUGCAGUGAAGAAAUACUUUAAUAUCUAAAUGUUUCAGAAAAAAAUCUAGUGCUUACAAGCCAGCAUGGCUCAGAAGUAUUUUCUACCCUUAUGGCUUUUGCAUCAAGGUUUCUAAUCUAGAAAUAGGUCAGUGUUUUCAUGGUCAGGUAAAUUUGAUUGAUGACACUGAUAACGAAAGAUAAAAUAAUUGGCUCAUUUUACAAGCAGUUUGCAGUAAUGCCAUGAUCUUAAAAUUAGCUGUCUCUGUAUUAAAAACACUUAAUUUUUUAAACAAUCUCCUUUUUUAUCUCCUUUUUUAUAGCAUUUAUCAGUCUAACUUAAUAUAUAGUGAACCUAUACAUUUUACCAUCUAACUCCUCUGACAAACCCCC
This is a long non-coding RNA of Felis catus (domestic cat), 764 nucleotides long. RefSeq lists it as uncharacterized. NCBI's taxonomy places the organism in Eukaryota, Metazoa, Chordata, Mammalia, Carnivora, Felidae. The record is from RefSeq and is a predicted model, not a curated record. The transcript is spliced from 4 exons.